GUGAAGCGGCAACAGCUCAAAUUUGAAAUCCGGCCUCCCCGGGGCCCGAGUUGUAAUUUGUAGAGGGUGCUUCGGGCGCGAUGCCGGUCUAAGUUCCUUGGAACAGGACGUCGUAGAGGGUGAGAAUCCCGUAUGCGACCGGCGAUCAAGCCUGUGCGAAGCCCCUUCGACGAGUCGAGUUGUUUGGGAAUGCAGCUCAAAAUGGGUGGUAAAUUUCAUCUAAAGCUAAAUACCGGCCAGAGACCGAUAGCGGACAAGUAGAGUGAUCGAAAGAUGAAAAGCACUUUGGAAAGAGAGUCAAACAGUACGUGAAAUUGUUGAAAGGGAAGCGCUUGCAAUCAGACCGGUCCGGAGGCGAUCAGCCGCUGCUCGUCAGCGGUGCACUCGCCUGCGAUCCGGCCAGCAUCGGUUCGGGCGGCGGGACAAAUGUCCCGGGAAUGUAGCUUCUCUCGGGGAGUCUUAUAGCCCGGGUCGCAAUGCCGCCCGCCCGGACCGAGGACCGCGCUCGGCUN
Molecule: ribosomal RNA, 512 nt
Filed under: Sticta aff. andreana
Lineage: Eukaryota; Fungi; Ascomycota; Lecanoromycetes; Peltigerales; Lobariaceae
Description: eukaryotic LSU rRNA
Rfam family: Eukaryotic large subunit ribosomal RNA
Source: RNAcentral